AUACUUACCUGGCAGGGGAGAUACCAUGAUCACGAAGGUGGUUUUCCCAGGGCGAGGCUUAUCCAUUGCACUCCGGAUGUGCUGACCCCUGCGAUUUCCCCAAAUGCGGGAAACUCGACUGCAUAAUUUGUGGUAGUGGGGGAAUGCGUCGCGCUCUCCCCUG
Molecule: small nuclear RNA, 163 nt
Filed under: Dasypus novemcinctus (nine-banded armadillo)
Lineage: Eukaryota; Metazoa; Chordata; Mammalia; Cingulata; Dasypodidae
Description: U1 spliceosomal RNA (ENSDNOG00000045739.1)
Rfam family: U1 spliceosomal RNA
About the family: U1 is a small nuclear RNA (snRNA) component of the spliceosome (involved in pre-mRNA splicing).
Source: RNAcentral